Molecule: long non-coding RNA, 961 nt
Filed under: Medicago truncatula (barrel medic)
Lineage: Eukaryota; Viridiplantae; Streptophyta; Magnoliopsida; Fabales; Fabaceae
Description: long non-coding RNA (MTRU_LNC005627)
Source: RNAcentral
UCGCAUCCUUAAGAUCUGACUUGUUCCCAACAAGUAUUGUCACAACGUUCAUAUCAGAGUGAGCUGUUAAAUAAUACACCAGUGCACUUAAUCAUCAUUUCAUCAUAUUCACAACCACCAAUAUAUGCGAGUACAUGUUUUUGAAUCAAAGCAAAAACAAAAGGAAAAAACAACCAUCAAUAUGUGUGUACAUGUAUGUCGAAGAAUAACAAGACUGGCAUAAAGAUGCAGAAGUUCAAAUUCAAAUGAAAAGACACAAUAAAACUUUACACUGUUGGUGAAGUAGCUUAAGAACCUAAAAUGAAGAGAGUAAACCAUUAGCCUUUGAAGUAUCACUCUCUUCAAUUUAGUCCCUAAAGUAUAUGCGAAUAAUUAGUCUCUUAACGUAUAUGACAUCCCCUUCUUCAAAAAAAAAACACUUAUAUGGCAUCCCUCAUUUUAGUCUAAGUAUAUGAAAAUAUGGCAUGUUAGUCCCUAGCAUCUUAAAAGCAUAUAUUAAAGUGACGAGUUCCAUAUACUUCAAAGAUUGCUUACUCUUUCUAAAAACUUUAGAAACUAAGUUGGAGAAAGAGUGAAACUUUAGAGAUUAAAUUGAGGGUUUAUUCAAAUGAAAAUUUGCAAUUCAGUAUUUACAAAAUAAAAUCGCCUCAAGGAAAAGAAUGAAGAGGCAUAUAAUUUUGUUUAUUUACAUAUAGGACCAUAUAAGUACUAUAAGGCCAUUAAACUUUCCCCAAAAAGGGCCAUUAAUUUUCAGUAUCAUAAAUGUUUUCUAUAUUGUACCAAUGUCAAGUUUAUUGAGAAAUUAACAGUUCCUGAUCAUUUACCUCAAAAACAUAGAAAGAACAAGAAAAAUUUCAAGGCAAAGAAAGAUUCAAAGAUAGUUAUAAUUCUUACUGUGAAGUUCGUUAAGCCAUCGACCAAUGCUAUCAAACGUUUGACGCCUGCUAAUGUCAUAUACCAG